This 208-nucleotide ribosomal RNA is filed under the name uncultured bacterium. RNAcentral describes it as "partial 16S ribosomal RNA". It matches the Rfam family "Bacterial small subunit ribosomal RNA", at positions 568 to 773 of the family's 1533-position model. The record is from RNAcentral.
CGCGUAGGCGGCAAAUUAAGUCAGCUGUGAAAUCUCCGAGCUUAACUCGGAACUGUCAGCUGAUACUGAUCUGCUUGAGUGCGGAAGGGGCAAUCGGAAUUCUUGGUGUAGCGGUGAAAUGCGUAGAUAUCAAGAGGAACACCUGAGGUGAAGACGGGUUGCUGGGCCGACACUGACGCUGACAGCGCGAAAGCCAGGGGGAGCAAAC